CCUACGGGGGGCUGCAGUGGGGAAUAUUGGACAAUGGGGGCAACCCUGAUCCAGCCAUGCCGCGUGUGUGAAGAAGGCCCUCGGGUUGUAAAGCACUUUCAGUGAGGAAGAACGCCUGGUGGUUAAUACCCAUCAGGAAAGACAUCACUCACAGAAGAAGCACCGGCUAACUCCGUGCCAGCAGCCGCGGUAAUACGGAGGGUGCGAGCGUUAAUCGGAAUUACUGGGCGUAAAGCGCGCGUAGGUGGCUUGAUAAGCCGGUUGUGAAAGCCCCGGGCUCAACCUGGGAACGGCAUCCGGAACUGUCAAGCUAGAGUGCAGGAGAGGAAGGUAGAAUUCCCAGUGUAGCGGUGAAAUGCGUAGAGAUCGGGAGGAAUACCAGUGGCGAAGGCGGCCUUCUGGACUGACACUGACACUGAGGUGCGAAAGCGUGGGGAGCAAACAGGAUUAGAUACCCCUGUAGUC
Molecule: ribosomal RNA, 465 nt
Filed under: Vreelandella stevensii
Lineage: Bacteria; Pseudomonadati; Pseudomonadota; Gammaproteobacteria; Oceanospirillales; Halomonadaceae
Description: partial 16S ribosomal RNA
Rfam family: Bacterial small subunit ribosomal RNA
Source: RNAcentral